Molecule: ribosomal RNA, 444 nt
Filed under: uncultured Gammaproteobacteria bacterium
Lineage: Bacteria; Pseudomonadati; Pseudomonadota; Gammaproteobacteria
Description: bacterial SSU rRNA
Rfam family: Bacterial small subunit ribosomal RNA
Source: RNAcentral
AUUGAACGCUGGCUGCAUGCUUAACACAUGCAAGUCGAACGAGAAAGUACCUUCGGGUGCGAGUAUAGUGGCGGACGGGUGAGUAAUGCAUAGGAAUCUGCCCAGUAGUGGGGGACAACUCGGGGAAACUCGAGCUAAUACCGCAUAUUUCCUACGGGAGAAAGACUUCGGUCGCUAUUGGAUGAGCCUAUGUCAGAUUAGCUUGUUGGUAGGGUAAUGGCCUACCAAGGCUACGAUCUGUAGCUGGUCUGAGAGGAUGAUCAGCCACACUGGGACUGAGACACGGCCCAGACUCCUACGGGAGGCAGCAGUGGGGAAUAUUGGACAAUGGGCGAAAGCCUGAUCCAGCAAUGCAGCGUGUGUGAAGAAGGCCUGAGGGUUGUAAAGCACUUUCAGUAGGGAAGAUAAUGACGGUACCUACAGAAGAAGCACCGGCUAACUCCG